Long non-coding RNA from Haliotis rubra (blacklip abalone), 348 nucleotides. RefSeq lists it as uncharacterized. Lineage: Eukaryota; Metazoa; Mollusca; Gastropoda; Lepetellida; Haliotidae. The record is from RefSeq and is a predicted model, not a curated record. The transcript is spliced from 3 exons.
CGUAUCUUUAUUCUCCAGGCGUGACUUCCGUCUGCUGGUGGGCACCCCUGGCGACCCCGACAAACCGUUCCCCCCACCCAGUCAUCUGGCACAGUCAGUCAACAGAAUAUGUGGGUAACAACACGUAUGUGGCAGAGUUUGAAAACCCCGAGGAGGGAUGGAGAGCCUUCUUUAUACAGCUGACGUUCCGUGGUGUCAACGACUCUGUGCUGGAGUUCACAACGGAGAGCCAGAUCAUCCCGAUACCUUCCCCUUCCCUGACUGCAGUGGAGAAAGUUGCCGAGGGACGCUUGUCUGACCAGUGAUAAUGUUUGAUAAUGUCAUAGUGUUUCAACUAUUUCUUGUCGA